GUGGGAGGGCACGACUGCUGGAUGCUUCUUCAGAGCACAGAUGGAUUUUGCAGUCUUGGCAAGACUUCGUUAAAAAAGCAGCACCCCACGUAGAGGAGAGGAAGCCAAAGGAUGCUCUGUUGUCUGAUGUGCUAUGGAGAGCUGUUGGUCAGAUUACGGACUUGAGAAUAGAAGGGAAGAGUGAGAGCAAAGCAGCCGAGAAGCUGUAGCAAUGAC
This 216-nucleotide long non-coding RNA is filed under the name Phasianus colchicus (ring-necked pheasant). RNAcentral's name for it is "lncRNA (ENSPCLG00000008615.1)". The record is from RNAcentral. Lineage: Eukaryota; Metazoa; Chordata; Aves; Galliformes; Phasianidae.